RNAcentral lists this ribosomal RNA (365 nucleotides) under uncultured eukaryote. RNAcentral describes it as "partial 18S ribosomal RNA". It matches the Rfam family "Eukaryotic small subunit ribosomal RNA", at positions 592 to 976 of the family's 1831-position model. The record is from RNAcentral.
CAAUAGCGUAUAUUUAAGUUGUUGCAGUUAAAAAGCUCGUAGUCGGAUUUUGGCUGAGAACGAUCGGUCCGCCGUUAGGUGUGCACUGAUUGGUCUCAGCUUCCUGGUGAGGAGGUGUGCUUCACGGCCACUUAGUCACCGUGGUUACUUUGAAAAAAUUAGAGUGUUCAAAGCGGGCUUACGCUUGAAUAUAUUAGCAUGGAAUAACACCAUAGGACUCCUGUCCUAUUUCGUUGGUCUCGGGACGGGAGUAAUGAUUAAGAGGAACAGUUGGGGGCAUUCGUAUUUCAUUAUCAGAGGUGAAAUUCUUGGAUUUAUGAAAGACGAACUUCUGCGAAAGCAUUUGCCAAGGAUGUUUUCAUUGA